Molecule: unclassified non-coding RNA, 355 nt
Filed under: Hevea brasiliensis (rubber tree)
Lineage: Eukaryota; Viridiplantae; Streptophyta; Magnoliopsida; Malpighiales; Euphorbiaceae
Source: RNAcentral
CUCUUUCUCUGAUUCUGUCGUUGAUUUCCAUUAUCUUCUCGUCCUGCAAAAAUGGCAGCUUCUUCUAAAAUUAAAGGUGUUGUCAUAAUAAUGGUGUUGCUAAUUGUCAAUAUCACUUCUCAAGCUUCCUGUGCCAGGCUCUUAGUAGAUGGUUCUCUCUCAACUUCUGAACAACGCAUCGUUCUCCCCGAAGUAGGGAUAAUUAGCCCAACAGAGGAGCAACUAAUUGGCAAGUACCGGCCCUUGUUGCUAAAUCUCCUCCCCAGGGGUCCUGUGCCCCCCUCUGGCCCCAGCAAACGGACCAACAAUUCUGUUAACUGAUUUGUUUAUUAAUUUUUCAUUAUUUUUUAGCCGU